CUCAUCAAAUCUACGGCAGACGAUUACUUGUACAAAUGGGAGAUAUCUUUCAUAUAAAAAAAAUUACAAAUAAACUAAGCCGCCGCCCCCUUCCCCUGAAAAAAAUUCUUUACCCAGUAUCAGUGCUAUUAUUUCUCCGGCUUGAAUAUUAGUAAAACACUUGGAAUCAUCGGGUGCACGCAUCGAAAUGCGUGUUUAACUAACUUGAUUAUG
RNAcentral lists this long non-coding RNA (213 nucleotides) under Theobroma cacao (cacao). RNAcentral describes it as "long non-coding RNA (TCAC_LNC000889)". Lineage: Eukaryota; Viridiplantae; Streptophyta; Magnoliopsida; Malvales; Malvaceae. The record is from RNAcentral.